RNAcentral lists this long non-coding RNA (1590 nucleotides) under Homo sapiens (human). RNAcentral describes it as "HSALNT0149268". The record is from RNAcentral. Lineage: Eukaryota; Metazoa; Chordata; Mammalia; Primates; Hominidae.
CGGCUGCGGAGGCUGGCGCGGGCUGCUGCACCUUUAACGCUUUCUGGCGCUGACAGGCGGCGGCCCAGCUAAAGUUCACAGCGCCCGGGGAGGGCCCGCCUCCGCCUCCCCUCCCGCCCCCGCCUCCCCUCCCCCAGGCCGGCCCCGGCCCCCGGCCCCGGACAGGCCCGCCGCGCGGCCGCUUGAGCUGCGAGCUGAGGAGGCCCGUUGGCUGUUCCCGCAAAGAGUGGGGGGCGCAUUUUCUCUCCUGCCAGCCCGCUCCAUCCUGGUCGUUUAUUCCCGGCCUUCCCUCACCCCCCACCCCCACAGCCUGCUGGGAAACCAGACGACCCAGCGGCCACGGGACGAGUCACCCCAACUCAACCCCAGCAGGACGCUGGAGGGGCCUCCCUUGCCCACCUCUCUUCGCUAGCACUGGCCUCCCGCACCUGGGUCUGCAGUCCCUCCGCCAUCUCACAAGUGUGCAGCCGCUAGGCCUGGGGGAUCCGAAUGACUGGGGCUGGAUAGGAAUGCCUUCGUGUUUCCCAAGACCCCCGGGCCUGCUCCACAAAGUUUGAAGGGUGGGUACACCCCGACCCAGGAGCUCAGAGAUGCCCGGGAAGACGGGGGGCCCGAAUGGAAGCAGAAAAACACUUAUGGCCGCUGGGAAGUUGGGAGAGCCAGGCUGGGGCUCCGGCAGGCCCAGGGAAAGUUCCCUUUCUAGGCUCUUUAUUAAAAAAUUUAAAAGGAGGAGUUGAGGCGCCUUGAAUUUUCCUUCGCGAGUUUGGAGACCAGCCGAUUUUUCAUGAAGCAAGCAAGGGCCGCGGUCCCGGAUCCUGCAACAUAUACCUCAUUUUCUCCAGGCCUCUCCACUUGCCCGAGCUCUCAGCCACCAGGAGACAGACGGAAGGGGCUUCUGGGCUGUGUUGGGAGCGGGCAUUGUCCCCUACCCACUCCUGCACAGUUUCCCAAAGUCCAGCGACCUCCGACCCUCCUUGGGGAAAAAAAUACCAGUACCCAGACACCUCUGCACCCUGUUAUAUGACUGGGCUUGCUUCAGGAAUAUCUUACAAAGAAGAAGAAGGAGGAGGAACGGCUUGGAGUCAUGUUUACAUCUAGUUCUACUGAUCCGUUCACAUCUGGAGAGUUUAUUUAUAACUCCCUCUAUAACUCUCUGUUUGGAGGCACUGGUGGCUCUACUGACAGACUGAUGUCUAGGAAAUAUUGCUCUAUGUCUAAUGGUACCUAAAUGUGCUGUGGUUGUAUUUACAGAUUUACGUUUGAGGGAAAUAUAAUUAUUUCCAUUGUAUUUGUGCAUAUACAGUAGUUAUAGGAGCAGAUUUAUAUAUGGGAAAAUAUGCGACUCCCUUACAGCCAUCCGGCUUUAUGUACAUUUGAUAUCCUGACAGAUUUAUAUCUCUGAAGAGCUAUAUAGAUUAAAACGUAUAUUGUUAGAAUUAUGUAUCAGGAGAUAUAUACUUAUUGAUUGCGAAAUAGAGUAGUUAGAGCAUUCACUUAGAGCCAUAUAUGGCUAUGGAGAUAUUUCUAUAUUAUUAUCACUAUAUAUAGGCAUAUCUAUUUAUAACUGCAUAGUUAUAAAAAUAGACAUAA